AAUAAACCAAUUUUUCACUUUUCACAUAUAAUUUUUAACUUUUCGUCUUAUUUAAAUUUUUUUGCGAUCGAUAAUUUUGUUUUUAUUAAAUGAUAAAUCAUGAAUAGUAUUUUACAUGUGACUAAUUUUUUUUAAUUUUCUGAAAAAUUUUCAAAUAAGACAGAUGGUCAAACGUUAGACACGGAAAUCGGAGAAUUGAUU
RNAcentral lists this microRNA precursor (201 nucleotides) under Oryza brachyantha (malo sina). RNAcentral's name for it is "MIR812 microRNA precursor family". It matches the Rfam family "MIR812 microRNA precursor family". Lineage: Eukaryota; Viridiplantae; Streptophyta; Magnoliopsida; Poales; Poaceae. The record is from Rfam by way of RNAcentral.